This 31-nucleotide non-coding RNA is filed under the name Homo sapiens (human). The record is from RNAcentral. Lineage: Eukaryota; Metazoa; Chordata; Mammalia; Primates; Hominidae.
UAGUGGAGGUAACGUGUUCGUGUCCUCUCUA